GAUGAACGCUGGCGGCGUGCCUAACACAUGCAAGUCGAGCGAUGAAAUUUCCUUCGGGAAAUAGAUUAGCGGCGGACGGGUGAGUAACACGUGGGUAACCUGCCUCAUAGUGGGGGAUAGCCUUCCGAAAGGGAGAUUAAUACCGCAUAACAUCAUUAGAUGGCAUCAUUUAGUGAUCAAAGGAUUUAUUCGCUAUGAGAUGGACCCGCGUCGCAUUAGCUAGUUGGUAGGGUAAUGGCUUACCAAGGCGACGAUGCGUAGCCGACCUGAGAGGGUGAUCGGCCACAUUGGGACUGAGACACGGCCCAGACUCCUACGGGAGGCAGCAGUGGGGAAUAUUGCACAAUGGGGGAAACCCUGAUGCAGCAACGCCGCGUGAGUGAUGACGGUCUUCGGAUUGUAAAGCUCUGUCUUUGGGGACGAUAAUGACGGUACCCAAGGAGGAAGCCACGGCUAACUAC
RNAcentral lists this ribosomal RNA (461 nucleotides) under uncultured bacterium. Its description in RNAcentral is "bacterial SSU rRNA". It matches the Rfam family "Bacterial small subunit ribosomal RNA", at positions 28 to 504 of the family's 1533-position model. The record is from RNAcentral.